This is a non-coding RNA of Momordica charantia (bitter melon), 809 nucleotides long. Lineage: Eukaryota; Viridiplantae; Streptophyta; Magnoliopsida; Cucurbitales; Cucurbitaceae. The record is from RefSeq and is a predicted model, not a curated record.
CAGGCCCGCAGGAUUCUAGCGACAGACACGGCCAGCAGCGCGUUUUCGGAGUCGAUCCUUUUCCUGUGUGUCAAUUUCAAGCGCCUUCGAGCACUCCAGCGAAGACCCACGUACAGCACGUGCAAACCACAUCUCCGGUGGCCGAUCGACUAUGAUUUCUUCAUUCUGGCAACAUUCGACACCUACCCGCACCCAAUCAAAGCUUGAUUUGAGUUACCCACCCCCUUCGGCAUUGAUUCAACGUUGACCCACUCUUUUCGGACCCAAAUCGGCAUUACCCAUCGCUUUUAGACAUCGGGACAGAAAGCUUAAGGCCUUUUGAACUCAGAUUUGGGAGCCCGAACCCCCUCGACGUCGACCCACUCCUAACCCAAGAGGUUUUAGUGUGAGUUAGUAGGAAAUCCUUCGGCGAGCUUAGUAACGUGUCAGGGCACUUGGGUAUCGAGCUAGCUUUUGGGAUGGUGAUGACGAGGAGGAGAUUUGACUAGAGAGACCAUUUAACGCUGCAUCGUUAAGUUUCCAUUUGGAUAGGAUAGUUAUAGUUGUUUAUUUGUAACUGAGUAUGUUUUGAGAUUAUUAAAUUAGGUUGUUAAGUUCCAAUUUUUCUUGGAGAAUGUGAUAGGGCUGAUAGUGCACUAUUCUUUUGAGAGCAUACAUUUUAUUUAGCUACUUGCACUUUGACGACGUGAUCUAUUGAGGAUAGUUAUUAGGAUAAUACAUUUGUUCAAGCUGAACUUGAAUUAGUCUUCUCUUUGCUGCUAUUCGAGUAAGUUAGUUUUGUGAAGUGGAUGGUUUUUGAUUAAUGCAGA